Molecule: ribosomal RNA, 467 nt
Filed under: uncultured bacterium
Lineage: Bacteria
Description: partial 16S ribosomal RNA
Rfam family: Bacterial small subunit ribosomal RNA
Source: RNAcentral
ACGCACGCUGGCGGCGCGCCUAACACCUGCCAGUCGAACGGAGCUGAGAGAAGCUUGCUUUUCUUAGCUUAGUGGCGAACGGGUGAGUAACGCGUGAGUAACCUGCCCUGGAGUGGGGGACAACAGUUGGAAACGACUGCUAAUACCGCAUAAGCCCACGAUCCGGCAUCGGAUUGAGGGAAAAGGAUUUAUUCGCUUCAGGAUGGACUCGCGUCCAAUUAGCUAGUUGGUGAGGUAGCGGCCCACCAAGGCGACGAUUGGUAGCCGGACUGAGAGGUUGAACGGCCACAUUGGGACUGAGACACGGCCCAGACUCCUACGGGAGGCAGCAGUGGGGGAUAUUGCACAAUGGGGGAAACCCUGAUGCAGCGACGCCGCGUGGAGGAAGAAGGUUUUCGGAUUGUAAACUCCUGUCGUUAGGGACGAUAAUGACGGUACCUAACAAGAAAGCACCGGCUAACUACGUG